Molecule: ribosomal RNA, 574 nt
Filed under: uncultured Halteria
Lineage: Eukaryota; Ciliophora; Spirotrichea; Sporadotrichida; Halteriidae
Description: partial large subunit ribosomal RNA
Rfam family: Eukaryotic large subunit ribosomal RNA
Source: RNAcentral
UCUCCGUGCAGCGCACGGCGAAUUGUAAUCUAGAGAGGCUAUUCUCAAAGAGUGGUGGCGCAGAAGUGUCCUGGAACGGACCGCCAAAGAGGGUGACAGCCCCGUACGUGGUGCCGCAGCUUAACAAGUAGGUCUUCAAAGAGUCGGGUUGUUUUGUAUUGCAGCCCUAAGUGGGAGAUAAACUUCUUCUAAGGCUAAAUAUAUGUGGGAAACCGAUAGCGAACAAGUACUGUGAAGGAAAGAUGAAAAGCACUUUGGAAAGAGAGUCAAAAGACCUGAAACCGUUGAGGAGGAAGCGGAAGAGAUGUAUUCUACGGCGAGGCGCAGGUUUAGCGGCCGAACUAUGGCGGGCUGGUCGUACGUCAAAGGCGAACGCUUGUCCGUGGGGAAGCCGGGGGCUAGCGCGGCGUUGUGAGGCCGGAUGGAGUCACGUGAUCACAGAGGCCUGCUUAACCUGGUGCGCUUCGGCGUGCAGUUUGGGAGUGCCGGUGGACACGUGGCUCGAGGGUGCUUUGUGCGAUCCGGUCAAAAUGGUCUUUUCCGGCUCGUCUUGAAACACGAACCAAGGAGUCUA